This 21-nucleotide microRNA is filed under the name Strongyloides ratti. RNAcentral describes it as "str-miR-8377-5p". Lineage: Eukaryota; Metazoa; Nematoda; Chromadorea; Rhabditida; Strongyloididae. The record is from miRBase by way of RNAcentral.
UUUAACGCGGAUAGAUGAAUU